Macaca fascicularis (crab-eating macaque) is the source of this 2782-nucleotide long non-coding RNA. The record is from Ensembl. Lineage: Eukaryota; Metazoa; Chordata; Mammalia; Primates; Cercopithecidae.
GCCUCUAAAUGUGCAGCAGAUCAAGUCCGCCUUCUUUCUGUGGCCAAAGACACAGCUUUGCCCUCCAGAGACAGCUCUGACCACCCACUUUCCUUCCCACUACCCUGCCCCUCACUGGGCCAAACUGAACUGUCUACCAUCCUCUUACCCCAUUCCCUGCCUUUGUCUUUCAGGCAGGCCACUUCGCCUGAGAUGCUGUCACUCUGAAUCCCCCCUACUUUAGACACUUCCCAUCCUUCAGGGCCCACCUAAAGAGGCAUCUCUUCCACGAAGAUGGAGGGGGACUUUACUGAAAUCCUCUUUUCCCAGGUCUCCUGAGUGCCUUUAGAUGCAUGCCUGUCCCACGCACCAGAAGUUUGUUACCUGCUGCUAAGUUAUGACUUAAUGCCUGAGUAAUGUGCUGGUUUUCACCAGUGUAUGUUACAUUUUCCUAGCAAGACUCUAAAUUCUAAUCCUAGAGAGUGGAGUGGGGAUGGUAUCUCCUCCAUCCUAGGGCGAAGCAUAGCACACACUUGGUAAAGCACACUGACUGCGUCGAGAGACCUGGGUUUUAGUUCUCUGCUGCCGUUAACUGGUCAUGUGACUUUGGGUUUCCUUCCCUGCAAAAUGAUGAAGCAGAUGGAUGGAUAUAUAUCGCUUCCAGCUCUGCUAUUCUCUGCAUCUAUUUGACUGUGGGCUGACCCACCCAGCUCUAAGCCUGGCUAGGGAAGCAGCAAGGGAGGCUAUGGACAAGCCCAGGGAGAGAGAGAGGGAGAGGGAGAUGGGGAGCUAAUAGCUCUGGAGGAAGGAAGGACAUGCUGGGCUAAUGGGAUAAUUGGAUAAUCCUCAGAGCUAGGGGCUGCCAGGCUGGGGCCAGCUGUUAGAAGCAGACACAAAUAGCACAAGCAAAACAAGGGCGCUGAUGCAGGAAGCAGCUUGCUGAGAGAUAUGGAGGAAGGUGGGUGGUGGCCAGAGGGUGGGGGAGGGGACAAAGAGAAACUGGAGCCCCUUUCUGUGGAAAUCUCGAGGACAGGAUCUUAAGGCCUUGUAUUCUGGCCCCAUUUAGAAAGACUGCAUUUAAGGAUCCUGGCCUUCUAUAUACCAAAGAACAUUCUUAGAGACCAAUGGUUUAUCUUGGCCUCCACAGUGUCCUGGCCACCAAGGACCUGCAAGGACCAUAAAGCCCUCAUCCUUGGCCAUUGAGGGUUAUCUGCAAAUGGGGCAUCCAUUUGACAUGCCUGUGAAAUAUUGCUGGACUCUUACAAAAUAUUAAUUUUGGAUACAUGACUCAGUGGGUCCCUUCAUUUCGGGCGGAGAAGUGGACCUGUCAGUGGCGUUGGGCACAGAACGAAAGAAAUUUUGGAGGGAUCUAGGACCCAACUCUGCUGGGUCACAUAAGUCAUAACUUCAGUGACUGGACCUCAGUUAGCCCAUCUAUAAAAUGGGGACAAUAAGCAUUACCUUCCCUGCAGGGCUAUUGUGGAGAUAAAAUGAGAUCAUGAAUGGGAAAGUAAUUUCAAAUGCAAGUGCUUUGCCAAGCACUUUAGUCCCAACUCUGUUUCUAAUUUUGUAUGAUUUUAGAAAGGCUAUUUCCUUUCUCUGAGUUCCAGUUUCUUCCAAUAUAAGAUGAUGAGAUCAGACUACAUGCUCUUUAAAUUCCCUUCUAAUUCUAAUGACUAUAAUUCUUAUAAAAAAGUAGUAUAUUUACAUUUGUGUACCCUAUAAGGACAGUAUGAGAAAAGAAAAUUAGAGGCCAAUUUUAUUAAUGAACAUAGAUAUAAAAUACUCAAGAUUAGCAACUGUAUAUAGCAAUGUACAAAAAAAUAUAUAAAUCAUUAUCCAAUAGGGUUUAUCCUAGGAAUGCAAGGAUGGUUUCACAUUAGAUAAUCAUUCAAUAUCAUUCAUAUUAAUAAGUUAAAGAACACUACAGGAGAAUCUCAACAGAUGCUGAAAAUGCAUUUGAUUUUAAAAAGUCAACACCCAAUCAUAGAAAAAACUGUUAGCAAACUAGAAAUAUAAAAACAUUUUCUUAACUCAAUAAACUAUAUUUUUCAACAUCUCACUGAACACACCAUAGUCAAUGGUGAACUAUUAGAAGCCUUCUCUUUCGGUCGGGCACAGUGGUUCACGCCUGUAAUCCCAGCACAUGGGGAGGCUGAGGCGGGCAGAUCACAAGGUCAGGAGUUCAAGACCAGCCUGGCCAACAUGGUGAAACCCCGUCUCCACUAAAAAAUACAAAAAUUAGCUGGUUGUGGUGGUGCAUGCCUGUAAUUCCAGCUACUUGGGAGGCUGAGGCAAGAGAAUUGCUUGAAGCUGGAAGGCGGAGAUUGCAGUGAAUGGAGAUCACGCCACUGCACUGUAGCCUGGACUACAGAGGGAGACUCCAUCUCAAAAAAAUAAAUAAAUAAAAUACGAAGCCUCUCUUCUAGUCAAGACCAAACCCAUUAUUCUAUCCAAUAUAGUACUAAAGUUCCUAGAGAUCAAAAUAAUACAUGAAAAAGAAAAGAAACAGGCCGGGCGCGGUGGCUCAAGCCUGUAAUCCCAGCACUUUGGGAGGCCGAGACGCGCGGAUCACGAGGUCGGGAGAUCGAGACCAUCCUGGUUAACACGGUGAAACCCGUCUCUACUAAAAAUACAAAAACUAGCCGGGCGAGGUGGCGGCCUGUAGUCCCAGCUACUCGGGAGGCUGAGGCAGGAGAAUGGCGUGAACCCGGAGGCGGAGCUUGCAGUGAGCUGAGAUCCGGCCACUGCACUCCAGCCUGGUGACAGAGCGAGACUCCGUCUCAAAAAAAAAAAAAAAAAA